Molecule: ribosomal RNA, 739 nt
Filed under: uncultured bacterium
Lineage: Bacteria
Description: bacterial SSU rRNA
Rfam family: Bacterial small subunit ribosomal RNA
Source: RNAcentral
AGAGUUUGAUCAUGGCUCAGAACGAACGCUGGCGGCAGGCCUAACACAUGCAAGUCGAGCGCCCGCAAGGGAGCGGCAGACGGGUGAGUAACGCGUGGGAACGUGCCCUUUGGUUCGGAAUAUUCCCGGGAAACUGGGAGCAAAACCGGAUAAGCCCUUCGGGGGAAAGUUUACGCCAAAGGAUCGGCCCGCGUUAGAUUAGGUAGUUGGUGGGGUAACGGCCUACCAAGCCUACGAUCUAUAGCUGAUCUGAGAGGAUGAUCAGCCACACUGGGACUGAGACACGGCCCAGACUCCUACGGGAGGCGGCAGUGGGGAAUCUUGGACAAUGGGCGCAAGCCUGAUCCAGCCAUGCCGCGUGGAUGACUGAAGGCCCUAGGGUUGUAAAGUCCUUUCGACGGGGACGAUAAUGACGGUACCCGUAGAAGAAGCCCCGGCUAACUUCGUGCCAGCAGCCGCGGUAAUACGAAGGGGGCUAGCGUUGUUCGGAUUUACUGGGCGUAAAGGGCGCGUAGGCGGAUUUUUAAGUCGGGGGUGAAAUCCCGGAGCUCAACUCCGGAACUGCCUUCGAUACUGAAAGUCUGGAGCACGGUAGAGGUGAGUGGAAUUCCGAGUGUAGAGGUGAAAUUCGUAGAUAUUCGGAGGAACACCAGUGGCGAAGGCGGCUCACUGGACCGUUGCUGACGCUGAGGCGCGAAAGCGUGGGGAGCAAACAGGAUUAGAUACCCCGGUAGUCCAA